AGUUGGAAUUUAGCAGCGAACGCGAUGUGAUCGAAGCGGAACUGAACUACAGCCUUCUUAUCCUGAUAUUACGGAGCCUUCGUCGCUGGAUCGCACCAAGGACCCGGCCAGAAAAUUGCAUUUAGCUCGUGCUUAACUAGAGGCCCACUAACCAAAUUAGUCGAUAAGAAAUGCUUUAGUAAUACUAGCUGUAAUACCAUAUUUGUAUGUAGUUUGGCUCUUAGUUGAUCUAUGUUAUGCUCGUGCUUAUUAUUAUUAUUAUCUAAUUCGUACAUUAAAUAAAAUGCUUUGAGUUUUGCAAUUUUAAUUUACGCUUUUUAAUAUUUGAGCUAAAUGAGAAGGAGUAGCAGCUAUUGGAUCGAAUCAUCAGUAUGUUUCUUAACAGGGUACGCCCGGUUCCAAUGGAUAUCCUGAAAAAUGAACACAAGCGCACACGCACACACCCACAUACACGCAAGCUGGCGAAUAGCCAGGGCGAUAAAGGUUAGAGGGAAGCACUUCAGCUGGAGAGUGAGCCUGGUCGAGAUCCUGAUCCUGGGAUGCCAAUGGGACUGGGACAGAUAGCCACAGAGGAAAAAAGCGCCAACCCAAAAACCAUGAAUAUGCGAUUGUUGUCCGACGAUGUUCGUAGAUGUCAGCCAUAAGAUAUUUCCAUAGACACGCAGGCAGCGAAGGAGCAGGAGGAGCAGGACACCCGUAUAGCAGCAACCACGAUUGAGUUGCUAGCUUCGUCAGACACCAGGCCAGACUUCGAGGGGGAUGAGGACCUAAAGGAUACUGGCUCAGGAUACUCGAAAGUAGGCUGUUACUGCACAAGGGUAUCUCAAGAAAAAAAAAAACAUGAAAGUAUAUGCAAACUUACGGACGGAGCACGAUUUAAAAUAUCACUCAAUCGAAACUUAUUUUCAGAUAAGCUUAAAAAUAAAUGGGAUCAACUACAUAAAUUCAUAUUUUAAAAGAAAUGUUUAGUUUCUAAUAUCAUAUUCACUUAAUUUAAAAAUCUAUUUUCAACAAUGUGUAGUUACCAAGAAUUUUUACUUUCUUAUUUCACUUCAUCAGUAUAAGUUUUAGAGGUUUGUUAAAUGUUGUUCUUAGGCAGCUUCAUUGCGUUUUGCUACAGUAUUAAAUCUUGUUUGGAUGACCUUAUGUAUCACCCUAGCGAUUUCGAUUUGCACCCUUCUCGCUCCAGUCGUCGUAUCGAAGUAACUGCCUACUUCCUCGAUGUCCUCGAAUGCCUCCAGCUGGGCUGGCCCCUCGUCCUUCGCUUCAUAUCCUGUCAGGAGCUGACUUUUUCCUGUUGCCGCUGCUUCCUUCCUUCCUUUCUUCUGGCUCUUAUCUUCGUUUAACUUUCUACCAUGUUAUGGCCCGUUAUCUGUCUGCCCGUGUACGUGUCCUUCGUGUCGGUGUGUGUUCGGUUUCUAUGUGUGUGUGUGUGUGUGUGUGUGCCUCCUCGUCUCUGUUUGCAUUUUUGAGCAAAUCAAGUGAAAUUACAUUUUUCUAUGCGAUGCUCUUAAUGUUAUUUGCAUACGUAUCCUGCAGGCUACAAUAUUUACAAAUGAAUGCAGUCCGGUGCCGUUCGCUUGGUCCUUGGUCCUCGGUCCUUGGGGGCUUGGUCCUUUGGAGAAUCAGACAAGCGGCUGUUGAACCAACCACCUUAACUGCCCAACUUCCCAGCAGACCAACCGCCCAGCCGAACUAACUACGUUUGCGAAAAUUCUUUCAUAUCCUUUUCAACCAUCGUUACGUGCCCUCAAAGUGCCAUUUUGUCACUGGGUCCUUUUUCUGCUACUUCCACUUCUUCUCGCACUCAUUCCGCCAGCUGUCAUUUGCAUUUGCCUUUCCUCCUUCCCACUAACUGGCAUUAAUAUUUGUUUUCGUUUGAUAAUUUUCUUUUGCUGCCUUUUAUACUUUUAAGUGCACGUCCUGCCAUUUCCAGGACCCUUUCUCCCCAUCUCAGCUAUUUUUCCAACUAGUUUCUAUCUGCGUCUCUGUCGCUCGCCUCCUUGCCUUGGCCUCAUCUUAUUGGACUGCAUAGUAAGUGGCAGCAGCCAAGUGAAAAAAGGACGACAAGGACGAUGAAGAAGAGGAAUGCCGGCGAAAAAAAAACCAAGCCACAUUUAAAUGUGCUCCGCCCCUUUUCUAUUUUAAAAAUGCAAAGCAUUUGCUUGGCUUUGCUUUGCUUUGGCCUGCCUCCUGCUUCUGCUCCUGCUUCUUGCCCAGGACCUUCUCUCUUCUUCUUCGCGGUUUCGUCCUGCUGCUGGCUCUUUCUUUUAAUUUAUUUUAUAUCGCUGCCUCCUUUUUCUGCGCGACGACGAAUGCGAAGCCAAAACCGAACGCUUUUGCAAAAAAGAUGGAAACGAAGGACUUGGCUUGAGGUCGCCUUGACUCGCCUUCACCAAUAAGAUUUUCGCUAGGUAACAUUUGAAAAAAGGAUAUCGUGAAAUGGUCGGGCUAUAUAACAGGAGGAGGGAGGUCAACGGGUACUUUUAAUUAAUUGUUGCUAAGCAAUUUUAUGAAAUUCAAUCAGAGUUUUGACUGGGAGUACCUCCCCAAAAGUAAGAUAUUAUAAAAUCGGUUUCUUCACAAUAAAGUAAUAAAGUAAAAAAAAUGACAAAAAUUAAGCAAAUAAAAUGAAUAUAUAAAAUAUUGAUACAAACUUUGUAAACUUAACUAGUUUUAUUCAUAAUUCUUAUUUAUAAUUUCAUUUGGUUAAGGCUUAUUCAUAAAUUAUUUGUGUUAAAAAUUAAAUCUGAUUAAUUCAAU
Molecule: non-coding RNA, 2763 nt
Organism: Drosophila melanogaster (fruit fly)
Lineage: Eukaryota; Metazoa; Arthropoda; Insecta; Diptera; Drosophilidae
Source: Ensembl